GCAACGAGCGCACCCCUAUCCUUAGUUGCUAGCAGGUAAUGCUGAGAACUCUAAGGAGACUGCCGGUGAUAAACCGGAGGAAGGUGGGGAUGACGUCAAGUCAUCAUGGCCCUUAUGGGGAGGGCUACACACGUGCUACAAUGGCCGGUACAGAGGGCUGCGAAGCCGCGAGGUGGAGCGAAUCUCAGAAAACCGGUCGUAGUCCGGAUUGCAGUCUGCAACUCGACUGCAUGAAGCCGGAAUCGCUAGUAAUCGCGGAUCAGAACGCCGCGGUGAAUACGUUCCCGGGCCUUGUACACACCGCCCGUCACACCAUGGGAGUGGGCUGUACCAGAAGUAGGUAGUCUAACCUUCGGGAGGACGCUUACCACGGUGUGGUUCACGACUGGGGUGAAGUCGUAACAAGGUAGCCCUAGGGGAACCUGGGGCUGGAUCACCUCCUUU
This 444-nucleotide ribosomal RNA is filed under the name uncultured Chromatiales bacterium. Its description in RNAcentral is "bacterial SSU rRNA". It matches the Rfam family "Bacterial small subunit ribosomal RNA", at positions 1089 to 1533 of the family's 1533-position model. The record is from RNAcentral. Lineage: Bacteria; Pseudomonadati; Pseudomonadota; Gammaproteobacteria; Chromatiales.